UGGUGCCCCAAUGUGGGACUUGAGAACGGGAGGACUUAGUGAGGGCCGCGGAUCAUGGGCCCAAAGUAGAAAAAGGAAAAGAAAAUAGAGGACUGACGUGGGAGCCUGCCACACCGCUGAACUCGUGAUUAUGUGAACAGUGAUUAUGGGACAAGAAAUUAGCCAGCAUGAGAUUUUUGUUGAAAAUUUAGUAAAAUUUUUAAAGACACAAGGAGCUAAGGUGAAUAUUGAACAAUUAUGCCAAUACUUCAAUUUUAUAAAAGAGGUUUGCCCUU
This is a regulatory RNA element of Cavia porcellus (domestic guinea pig), 275 nucleotides long. It matches the Rfam family "Mason-Pfizer monkey virus packaging signal". Rfam says of the family: The packaging signal is located in the 5' UTR and is required for specific RNA encapsidation. The record is from Rfam. NCBI's taxonomy places the organism in Eukaryota, Metazoa, Chordata, Mammalia, Rodentia, Caviidae.